UGGAUUAGUGGCGAACGGGUGAGUAACACGUGGGUGAUCUGCCCUGCACUUCGGGAUAAGCUUGGGAAACUGGGUCUAAUACCGGAUAGGAACCAUCUUUAGUGUGGUGGUUGGAAAGUUUUUUCGGUGUAGGAUGAGCUCGCGGCCUAUCAGCUUGUUGGUGGGGUAAUGGCCUACCAAGGCGGCGACGGGUAGCCGGCCUGAGAGGGUGUACGGCCACAUUGGGACUGAGAUACGGCCCAG
RNAcentral lists this ribosomal RNA (243 nucleotides) under uncultured Actinomycetales bacterium. RNAcentral describes it as "partial 16S ribosomal RNA". It matches the Rfam family "Bacterial small subunit ribosomal RNA", at positions 88 to 334 of the family's 1533-position model. Lineage: Bacteria; Bacillati; Actinomycetota; Actinomycetes; Actinomycetales. The record is from RNAcentral.